RNAcentral lists this ribosomal RNA (355 nucleotides) under uncultured bacterium. RNAcentral describes it as "bacterial SSU rRNA". It matches the Rfam family "Bacterial small subunit ribosomal RNA", at positions 527 to 881 of the family's 1533-position model. The record is from RNAcentral.
GNAGGGGGCAAGCGUNAUCCGGAUUACUGGGUGUAAAGGGAGCGUAGACGGCAGUGCAAGUCUGAAGUGAAAGCCCGGGGCUCAACCCCGGGACUGCUUUUGGAAACUGUGCAGCUAGAGUGUCGGAGAGGCAAGCGGAAUUCCUAGUGUAGCGGUGAAAUGCGUAGAUAUUAGGAGGAACACCAGUGGCGAAGGCGGCUUGCUGGACGAUGACUGACGUUGAGGCUCGAAAGCGUGGGGAGCAAACAGGAUUAGAUACCCUGGUAGUCCACGCCGUAAACGAUGACUACUAGGUGUCGGGGAGCAAAGCUCUUCGGUGCCGCAGCCAACGCAAUAAGUAGUCCACCUGGGGAGU